RNAcentral lists this ribosomal RNA (445 nucleotides) under uncultured Nostocoides sp. RNAcentral describes it as "bacterial SSU rRNA". It matches the Rfam family "Bacterial small subunit ribosomal RNA", at positions 338 to 795 of the family's 1533-position model. Lineage: Bacteria; Bacillati; Actinomycetota; Actinomycetes; Micrococcales; Intrasporangiaceae. The record is from RNAcentral.
CCUACGGGGGGCUGCAGUGGGGAAUAUUGCACAAUGGGCGAAAGCCUGAUGCAGCGACGCCGCGUGAGGGAUGACGGCCUUCGGGUUGUAAACCUCUUUCAGCAGGGAAGAAGCGAAAGUGACGGUACCUGCAGAAGAAGCACCGGCUAACUACGUGCCAGCAGCCGCGGUAAUACGUAGGGUGCGAGCGUUGUCCGGAAUUAUUGGGCGUAAAGAGCUUGUAGGCGGUUUGUCGCGUCUGCAGUGAAAAUCCGAGGCUCAACCUCGGACUUGCUGUGGGUACGGGCAGACUAGAGUAUGGUAGGGGAGACCGGAAUUCCUGGUGUAGCGGUGGAAUGCGCAGAUAUCAGGAGGAACACCGAUGGCGAAGGCAGGUCUCUGGGCCAUAACUGACGCUGAGAAGCGAAAGCGUGGGGAGCGAACAGGAUUAGAUACCCGGGUAGUC